GUAGAUUUGGUCCAUUUUGG
RNAcentral lists this non-coding RNA (20 nucleotides) under Arabidopsis thaliana (thale cress). Lineage: Eukaryota; Viridiplantae; Streptophyta; Magnoliopsida; Brassicales; Brassicaceae. The record is from RNAcentral.